AGAGUUUGAUCCUGGCUCAGAUUGAACGUUGGCGGAAUGCUUUACACAUGCAAGUCGAACGGUAGAGGGGGCAACCCCUUGAGAGUGGCGAACGGGUGAGUAAUAUAUCGGAACGUGCCCAGUCGUGGGGGAUAACGUAGUGAAAAUUACGCUAAUACCGCAUACGAUCUAAGGAUGAAAGCGGGGGAUCGCAAGACCUCGCGCGACUGGAGCGGCCGAUAUCAGAUUAGGUAGUUGGUAGGGUAAAGGCCUACCAAGCCAACGAUCUGUAGCUGGUCUGAGAGGACGACCAGCCACACUGGAACUGAGACACGGUCCAGACUCCUACGGGAGGCAGCAGUGGGGAAUUUUGGACAAUGGGCGAAAGCCUGAUCCAGCCAUUCCGCGUGCAGGAUGAAGGCCCUCGGGUUGUAAACUGCUUUUGUACAGAACGAAAAGGUUUCUAUUAAUACUAGGAGCUCAUGACGGUACUGUAAGAAUAAGCACCGGCUAACUACGUGCCAGCAGCCGCGGUAAUACGUAGGGUGCAAGCGUUAAUCGGAAUUACUGGGCGUAAAGCGUGCGCAGGCGGUUAUAUAAGUCAGAUGUGAAAUCCCCGGGCUCAACCUGGGAACUGCAUUUGAGACUGUAUAGCUAGAGUACGGUAGAGGGGGAUGGAAUUCCGCGUGUAGCAGUGAAAUGCGUAGAUAUGCGGAGGAACACCGAUGGCGAAAGGCAAUCCCCUGGACCUGUACUGACGCUCAUGCACGAAAGCGUGGGGAGCAAACAGGAUUAGAUACCCUGGUAGUCCACGCCCUAAACGAUGUCAACUGGUUGUUGGGUCUUAACUGACUCAGUAACGAAGCUAACGCGUGAAGUUGACCGCCUGGGGAGUACGGGCCGCAGGUGAAACUCAANGAUUGACGGGGACCCGCACA
This 917-nucleotide ribosomal RNA is filed under the name uncultured bacterium. RNAcentral describes it as "bacterial SSU rRNA". It matches the Rfam family "Bacterial small subunit ribosomal RNA", at positions 8 to 927 of the family's 1533-position model. The record is from RNAcentral.